This 253-nucleotide ribosomal RNA is filed under the name uncultured bacterium. Its description in RNAcentral is "partial 16S ribosomal RNA". It matches the Rfam family "Bacterial small subunit ribosomal RNA", at positions 524 to 776 of the family's 1533-position model. The record is from RNAcentral.
UACGUAGGGUCCGAGCGUUGUCCGGAAUUAUUGGGCGUAAAGGGCUCGUAGGCGGUCUGUUGCGUCGGGAGUGAAAACUUACAGCUUAACUGUGAGCGUGCUUCCGAUACGGGCAGACUUGAGGUAUUCAGGGGAGAACGGAAUUCCUGGUGUAGCGGUGAAAUGCGCAGAUAUCAGGAGGAACACCGGUGGCGAAGGCGGUUCUCUGGGAAUAUCCUGACGCUGAGGAGCGAAAGUGUGGGGAGCAAACAGG